This 108-nucleotide ribosomal RNA is filed under the name uncultured bacterium. RNAcentral describes it as "partial 16S ribosomal RNA". The record is from RNAcentral.
GAAGGAAGACUGCCCUAUGGGUUGUAAACUUCUUUAUAAGGGAAUAAAGAGCGCCACGUGUGGUGUGUUGUAUGUACCUUAUGAAUAAGCAUCGGCUAAUUCCGUGCC